This is an RNA transcript of Leptidea sinapis, 1194 nucleotides long. RefSeq lists it as uncharacterized. The transcript has 4 exons. The record is from RefSeq and is a predicted model, not a curated record. NCBI's taxonomy places the organism in Eukaryota, Metazoa, Arthropoda, Insecta, Lepidoptera, Pieridae.
AGUAUGUAGGUAGGUAAUAUAUUUAUAUUUUUCAUCAUAAUAAGGUAGGUAUUUGCCUAUCUACCUUCAGAAAAACCCUGUUCUACCAUUCAUCAUAAUUAUAAUGUUUAUUUUGUAUAUUAUUCCUACAUGGGUACCUAAAAGUAAAAACCUAAUAUGAAAAUUCUAGGAAACAAUUGUCCGAACAAAGAAAAACUAUGGAGUCGUCUCUGGAUUUAGGCGAAACUGAAACGAAUACAAUCGAUUCUUUAGAAGGGUAUGUAUGUAAUUAUCUACUACAUAUUUAUCACACUGUGACUGCAUAAUAAUAGUUUUGAACGUGUGUGAAAAUAAUAUUCCAAUGAACUAGACAUGACUAGAAUUUUAUUUUGUAGAAGACAAGAAAUGUCAUCGUCGUAUGCAGAUUUACAAAAUGUGACGCUCACGUAAGUUUCAUGAUUACCUACAUAGAUAUAAGUGUCAAUUUAUAAAAGUAAAGUGUUGUUUGUUUUUAGAGUUCCGUACCCAAAGGGUAAAUCGGGACCCUAUUACUAAAACUCCGCUGUCCGUCCAUCUGUCUGUCUGACCGUCUGUCAUCAGGCUGUAUCUCAUGAACCGUGAUAGUUAGCCAGUUGACAUUUUCACAGAUGAUGUAUUUCUGUUGCCGCUUUAACAAAAAAUACUAAAAAAUAGAAUAAAAUAAAUAUUUACGGGGGCUCCCAUACAACAAACGUGCCGUUUUUGCCGUUUUUAUAGAUAGGUAAUGGUAAGGGACCCUUCAUGCGCGAGUCCAACUCGCAUUUGGCCGGUUUUUUCUCUUUUAAUGUUGUCCCGCUGCUGGACAAAUUUCUUCAUCAAAUCCUUCCACCCAUCACAGGCCUUGUCAAGUUUACUAAUGUUUUUUUAGGGCGGCCGAAAAGGAUCAGAACUCACUUCCAUGUUAUUUUGAAGAAAAAACGCCUAAAACAACAUUUGAGAUGGAAUUAGAUGAUAAUGAUGCGCCUCCAAAUAUAUCGCAAUGCGAAUCAGAAGCAAUGACAGAAGAAAAUCAAUAUAAGGAAAAGGACCAGGCUUCAAACGUAUUACCUGAAAAUCAAUGUGAAGAAAGUAAUGCACUUCCAUAUAUAGUUGAAGGCACAUCUGAAGUAACGAUGCAGCCUGAAAUACAAAACUUGGGGCACCGAAUAAUAGAUUUUAAUCAUUUCACAUCAGAAC